RNAcentral lists this ribosomal RNA (838 nucleotides) under uncultured bacterium. Its description in RNAcentral is "bacterial SSU rRNA". It matches the Rfam family "Bacterial small subunit ribosomal RNA", at positions 67 to 917 of the family's 1533-position model. The record is from RNAcentral.
CGGUGGUAGCAAUACCAUAGUGGCGCACGGGUGCGUAACGCGUAACCAACCUGCCCUUGACUGGGGGAUAGCCCGCCGAAAGGCGGAUUAAUACCGCAUAUACCCGCAGUGUGGCAUCACACAAUGGGGAAAGAUUUAUUGGUCAAGGAUGGGGUUGCGUAGCAUUAGCUAGUUGGCGGGGUAACGGCCCACCAAGGCGACGAUGCUUAGGGGACCUGAGAGGGUGAUCCCCCACACUGGCACUGAGAUACGGGCCAGACUCCUACGGGAGGCAGCAGUAGGGAAUAUUGGGCAAUGGACGAGAGUCUGACCCAGCCAUGCCGCGUGCCGGAUGAAGGCCUUCUGGGUUGUAAACGGCUUUUCUCAGGGAAGAAAAAGACCUUGCGAGGUACACUGACGGUACCUGAGGAAUAAGCACCGGCUAACUCCGUGCCAGCAGCCGCGGUAAUACGGAGGGUGCAAGCGUUGUCCGGAUUUAUUGGGUUUAAAGGGUGCGUAGGCGGCCCGUUAAGUCCGGGGUGAAAGCCCACAGCUCAACUGUGGAACUGCCCUGGAUACUGGCGGGCUUGAGUCCAGACGAGGUUGGCGGAAUGGAUGGUGUAGCGGUGAAUGCAUAGAUACCAUCCAGAACCCCGAUUGCGUAGGCAGCUGACUAGGCUGGUACUGACGCUGAGGCACGAAAGCGUGGGGAGCGAACAGGAUUAGAUACCCUGGUAGUCCACGCCGUAAACGAUGGAUACUCGCUGGUGGCGAUAGACUGUCACUGGCUUAGCGAAAGCGGUAAGUAUCCCACCUGGGGAGUACGCUCGCAAGAGUGAAACUCAAAGGAAUUGACGGG